CUAAAUUCAUUGGCCCAAGGGAAACAAUAUAAAAACCAAGUACCAUUAGCCUCUGAGGCUAAAGAGGAAGACAUGGCAGAUAGACGCAGGGCGCCCACACAGCUACUGUAGAAAUUUUAUGGAUAUCGGAGCAGCUUACAUCGACGGUUCUGAGCAGCUGGCAGCUACAAGGGAGUUGCUCAUUGCAAUUUCUAACCUGGUUGGUGAUCAGGUCUGUGAUCUGAGUUUCGUGCCUGUAGAUGGUGUUGUAGUUUCAAAUGCUGAUGUAUCUGAUGAGCAGUACCGGUCUGAACUGAUUUCUAUUUCCAAUGUGGAGUCCCAUGAUAUAUAAAUACAAGUGUACAACUCAUGAGCUUCCCCUGGGAAGCCAUAAAGAUUACCAAAGCCAGGUUUCCCUCCAGUUUUAUCAACUACAUUCAUAGAUUUAGUUAUUUCAGUCAUUUCUCAUAUCAAAUGUAACUUAAUAGACACCUGGUGUCAUUAGUGUGAUAAACCGUAUAAGGAUAAUGAUGAAUGGUAAUGGUUCUUGGUUUCUCCA
Argentina anserina (silverweed cinquefoil) is the source of this 538-nucleotide long non-coding RNA. RefSeq lists it as uncharacterized. The record is from RefSeq and is a predicted model, not a curated record. NCBI's taxonomy places the organism in Eukaryota, Viridiplantae, Streptophyta, Magnoliopsida, Rosales, Rosaceae. The transcript has 2 exons.